This 468-nucleotide ribosomal RNA is filed under the name uncultured bacterium. Its description in RNAcentral is "partial 16S ribosomal RNA". It matches the Rfam family "Bacterial small subunit ribosomal RNA", at positions 28 to 507 of the family's 1533-position model. The record is from RNAcentral.
GACGAACGCUGGCGGCGUGCUUAACACAUGCAAGUCGAACGGAAAGGCCCUGCUUUUGUGGGGUGCUCGAGUGGCGAACGGGUGAGUAACACGUGAGUAACCUGCCCUUGACUUUGGGAUAACUUCAGGAAACUGGGGCUAAUACCGGAUAGGAGCUCCUGCUGCAUGGUGGGGGUUGGAAAGUUUCGGCGGUUGGGGAUGGACUCGCGGCUUAUCAGCUUGUUGGUGGGGUAGUGGCUUACCAAGGCUUUGACGGGUAGCCGGCCUGAGAGGGUGACCGGCCACAUUGGGACUGAGAUACGGCCCAGACUCCUACGGGAGGCAGCAGUGAGGAAUAUUGCACAAUGGGCGGAAGCCUGAUGCAGCAAUGCCGCGUGCGGGAUGACGGCCUUCGGGUUGUAAACCGCUUUCGCCUGUGACGAAGCGUGAGUGACGGUAAUGGGUAAAGAAGCACCGGCUAACUACGUG